Molecule: regulatory RNA element, 46 nt
Organism: Oryctolagus cuniculus (rabbit)
Lineage: Eukaryota; Metazoa; Chordata; Mammalia; Lagomorpha; Leporidae
Rfam family: Histone 3' UTR stem-loop
About the family: The mRNAs of metazoan histone genes lack a poly-A tail. 3' end processing occurs at a site between a highly conserved stem-loop (modelled by this family) and a purine rich region around 20 nts downstream (the histone downstream element, or HDE).
Source: Rfam
CCAAAGGCUCUUUUCAGAGCCACCCAAUUAGCCAAGGAAAACGGCU